Cajanus cajan (pigeon pea) is the source of this 394-nucleotide non-coding RNA. The record is from RefSeq and is a predicted model, not a curated record. Lineage: Eukaryota; Viridiplantae; Streptophyta; Magnoliopsida; Fabales; Fabaceae.
GCUGCAGAGUCUUUAUCUUCCAAUGAAAGUGAAUCAUUUUCAUGGGGACACUCUGGUGAUAGAGUUCUUAGAAGCUUUAUUUUGGAUGGUGUGCAUACGCUUAAAACAUACUUACCAUGUGCAUCUCAAUGGUCUAUUGGUGACAAUAUCAAAUCUGAUGUGGAAAUGGGGCUGUUAACCUCCAAAGUUUGCUGUCUUAUUGACUCUCUACUUGAGUACAGGGGGUUGACAGAUAUGAGGUGCAUAAUUUUUGUGCAAAGGGUCAUUACAGCCAUUGUCCUUCAGGAUUUAUUGAAUACCUUGCUUCCAAAAUACAAUAGCUGGAAGACUAAAUUCAUUGCAGGACACAAUUUUGGUUUGCAAAAUCAGUCAAGGAGAAAACAAAAUGGAAUUG